Molecule: ribosomal RNA, 472 nt
Filed under: uncultured bacterium
Lineage: Bacteria
Description: partial 16S ribosomal RNA
Rfam family: Bacterial small subunit ribosomal RNA
Source: RNAcentral
GACGAACGCUGGCGGCGUGCUUAACACAUGCGAGUCGAACGCUGAAGCUUGGUGCUUGCACUGGGUGGAUGGGUGGCGAACGGGUGAGUAAUACGUGAGUAACCUGCCCUUGACUCUGGGAUAAGCCUGGGAAACUGGGUCUAAUACUGGAUACGACAUGUCACCGCAUGGUGGUGUGUGGAAAGGGUUUUACUGGUUUUGGAUGGGCUCACGGCCUAUCAGCUUGUUGGUGGGGUAAUGGCUCACCAAGGCGACGACGGGUAGCCGGCCUGAGAGGGUGACCGGCCACACUGGGACUGAGACACGGCCCAGACUCCUACGGGAGGCAGCAGUGGGGAAUAUUGCACAAUGGGCGGAAGCCUGAUGCAGCGACGCCGCGUGAGGGAUGACGGCCUUCGGGUUGUAAACCUCUUUCAGCACGGAAGAAGCGAAAGUGACGGUACGUGCAGAAGAAGCGCCGGCUAACUACGUG